GUUGCCAGCGAUUAGGUCGGGAACUCAAAGGAGACUGCCAGUGAUAAACUGGAGGAAGGUGGGGAUGACGUCAAGUCAUCAUGGCCCUUACGACCAGGGCUACACACGUGCUACAAUGGCGCAUACAAAGAGAAGCGACCUCGCGAGAGCAAGCGGACCUCAUAAAGUGCGUCGUAGUCCGGAUUGGAGUCUGCAACUCGACUCCAUGAAGUCGGAAUCGCUAGUAAUCGUGGAUCAGAAUGCCACGGUGAAUACGUUCCCGGGCCUUGUACACACCGCCCGUCACACCAUGGGAGUGGGUUGCAAAAGAAGUAGGUAGCUUAACCUUCGGGAGGGCGCUUACCACUUUGUGAUUCAUGACUGGGGUGAAGUCGUAACAAGGUAACCGUAGGGGAACCUGC
Molecule: ribosomal RNA, 401 nt
Filed under: Salmonella enterica subsp. enterica serovar Derby
Lineage: Bacteria; Pseudomonadati; Pseudomonadota; Gammaproteobacteria; Enterobacterales; Enterobacteriaceae
Also listed under: 10 other names
Description: bacterial SSU rRNA
Rfam family: Bacterial small subunit ribosomal RNA
Source: RNAcentral